UGAUGAAAAAUCUGACCUGCUCUAUGUAAAUGGCCGCGGUAUUUUGACCGUGCUAAGGUAGCAUAAUCAUUAGUUUUUUAAUUGGGGGCUGGAAUGAAAGGUUGGACAAAGUAAAAUCUGUCUUAUAAAAAUGAAUUUUGUGUUUAAUGUGAGAAGACAUGAGGGAAGAUAAGACCCUGUUGAGUUUUAUUAUUUUACUGGGGCGGUAAUGAUGAAAAAGGGAUUAAAUUACCACAGGGAUAACAGCGUGAAAUAUUUGGAGAGUUCUUAUUGAUAAAUAGUUUUGCGACCUCGAUGUUGAAUUAAGACUUUUUGGUGUAG
This 321-nucleotide ribosomal RNA is filed under the name Sarax sp. 2 GSM-2017. RNAcentral's name for it is "partial large subunit ribosomal RNA". It matches the Rfam family "Bacterial large subunit ribosomal RNA", at positions 1896 to 2555 of the family's 2925-position model. Lineage: Eukaryota; Metazoa; Arthropoda; Arachnida; Amblypygi; Charinidae. The record is from RNAcentral.